UCAGGAAGAAUGGGAUCCUCCUGGGGUAAUGCUUAAGCAUAAGAUGUGAAGACUUACUUAAAUUUAUUUGACUCCAGUUCUUUCAAGUCUUCUAACUAGUACUGCUUCCUUUGGGACUGUGGGUGACUUGCCUCUGACUUUAAUGAUGCUUGUAAAGCCUAAUCAACGUUACUCACCAGAGGAUUUCAGUCUCAUCUUUUACCUUCCAUGUUCCGUACCCAGGAUUCUACUUGUUAUUUUAAGGGAGCAGUAAUAUAUACAGCAUCUGUAUACACAGAGUGCAAUAUAUACUCCCUGAAGUCCAGUGGAUUGUCUUUGUGGAGGGAUGAAUAUAUGACUGUAAGAAACUCUUCAGAGUUCAUCCAGAAUACAAAGCUGCUCAUUACUUUCUAGCCUGGAUUCAGUCAAGAGGUACCAUGUGCUAUAAAGAAAAGAUUGAACUACUCUGAAAUGCAAAAGGAGCAUUUUCCUGGCUGUGGUUUUGACACAUGACGUGGGAACUCCCAACCUCUAUCUCCUUCAAACGCCGGCUCCAGGAGAACGAGCCUCUGGGAAGCGAAGUGUCCCCCCGGCCUUGCCCACGGAGCAGGGACCAACCUCCAGCCGGGGAGCUCCGUGUGCUGGGAGCGGCUCGGCAAAGCCCAGUCCGUCAGUCUGUCCGAUCACGGCUCCGCAGGCGGGCAGUGCACCCGGAGGCGGGGG
Nothoprocta perdicaria is the source of this 702-nucleotide long non-coding RNA. RefSeq lists it as uncharacterized. The transcript has 5 exons. The record is from RefSeq and is a predicted model, not a curated record. NCBI's taxonomy places the organism in Eukaryota, Metazoa, Chordata, Aves, Tinamiformes, Tinamidae.